GCAAGUCGAACGGUAACGCGGAGAGCUUGCUCUUUGCCGACGAGUGGCGGACGGGUGAGUAACGCGUAGGAAUCUGCCCAUUAGUGGGGGACAACCCGGAGAAAUCCGGGCUAAUACCGCAUACGCUCUACGGGGGAAAGGUGGGGAUCCCUUCGGAGAACUUCCGCUAUUGGAUGAGCCUGCGUCGGAUUAGCUUGUUGGUGGGGUAACGGCCUACCAAGGCGACGAUCCGUAGCUGGUCUGAGAGGACGAUC
RNAcentral lists this ribosomal RNA (254 nucleotides) under uncultured bacterium. RNAcentral describes it as "partial 16S ribosomal RNA". It matches the Rfam family "Bacterial small subunit ribosomal RNA", at positions 57 to 305 of the family's 1533-position model. The record is from RNAcentral.